RNAcentral lists this ribosomal RNA (253 nucleotides) under uncultured bacterium. RNAcentral's name for it is "partial 16S ribosomal RNA". It matches the Rfam family "Bacterial small subunit ribosomal RNA", at positions 524 to 776 of the family's 1533-position model. The record is from RNAcentral.
UACGGGGGGGGCAAGCGUUGUUCGGAAUUACUGGGCGUAAAGGGCUCGUAGGUGGCCAACUAAGUCGGACGUGAAAUCCCUCGGCUUAACCGGGGAACUGCGUCCGAUACUGGUUGGCUUGAGUUUGGGAGAGGGAUGCGGAAUUCCAGGUGUAGCGGUGAAAUGCGUAGAUAUCUGGAGGAACACCGGUGGCGAAGGCGGCAGCCUGGACCAAUACUGACGCUGAGGAGCGAAAGCCAGGGGAGCAAACGGG